AAUGAACGUUGGCGGCGUGGAUUAGGCAUGCAAGUCGAGCGAGAAGAGUUUGGUAGCUUGCUAUUGAACUCGGAAAGCGGCGAAAGGGAGAGUAACGCGUAGUUACGUGCCCCAGGGUUCGGAAUAGCCACGGGAAACUGUGGGUAAUGCCGAAUAACAUCUCCGGAUCAAAGGUGUGAUUCCGCCCUGGGAGCGGACUGCGUCCUACUAGCUAGUUGGCGGGGUAAUGGCCCACCAAGGCAACAAUGGGUAGCGGGUGUGAGAGCAUGACCCGUCUCACUGGGACUGAGACACUGCCCAGACACCUACGGGUGGCUGCAGUCGAGAACCUUCGGCAAUGGGCGAAAGCCUGACCGAGCGACGCCGCGUGCGGGAUGAAGGCCCUCGGGUUGUAAACCGCUGUCGUAGGGGAGGAAGGCUCCAUGAAGAAUGGGGUUUGACCUAUCCUAGGAGGAAGUACGGGCUAAGCUCGUGCCAGCAGCCGCCGUAA
RNAcentral lists this ribosomal RNA (490 nucleotides) under uncultured bacterium. Its description in RNAcentral is "partial 16S ribosomal RNA". It matches the Rfam family "Bacterial small subunit ribosomal RNA", at positions 29 to 523 of the family's 1533-position model. The record is from RNAcentral.